RNAcentral lists this ribosomal RNA (336 nucleotides) under uncultured bacterium. RNAcentral's name for it is "bacterial SSU rRNA". It matches the Rfam family "Bacterial small subunit ribosomal RNA", at positions 28 to 334 of the family's 1533-position model. The record is from RNAcentral.
GAUGAACGCUGGCGGCGCAUUUAAGACAUGCAAGUCGAACGAAAACUUUUUACCGAAUUGAUAUGACGAUUUAUCUGAAUUGAAAUUCACCAAAAAGUUUUAGUGGCGGACGGGUGAGUAAUACGUAGAUAAUCUGCCUUUUAGAGGGAAAUAACAAGAAGAAAUUUUUGCUAAUGUGCCAUAAUCACCACAUGGUGGUAGUGGGAAAGGAGCAAUCCGCUGAUAGAUGGGCUUGCGUCUGAUUAGAUAGUUGGUGGGGUAAUGGCCUACCAAGUCGACGAUCAGUAGCCGGACUGAGAGGUUGAACGGCCACAUUGGGACUGAGAUACGGCCCAG